Molecule: RNA transcript, 1355 nt
Organism: Daphnia pulicaria
Lineage: Eukaryota; Metazoa; Arthropoda; Branchiopoda; Diplostraca; Daphniidae
Gene name: MKRN2 opposite strand protein-like
Exons: 5
Source: RefSeq, a predicted model, not a curated record
UAAGUCAAACUCGAGUCACACUUGCACCUUAUUGGACAAUAUUAGCCAUAACAAUUUUACAACAAAAAUCAAUAACAGUGACAUGUUUUUAAACCUUUUUAACUUAAUAAAAGUAAGUGUGUCUUCUCACAAAGUCGCGGUGACUUCUCGGUACAUUCCAAUCUGAUUUACUCAAAGCAACAUAACAAGAACAUACAACUAUAUCUAUUUUGCCAUUUCUUUUAUACAGUGUAUGAACAAAAAACUUACAAUUACCUAGCUCAACUCUUUGAGUCACUUUAGAAAUGAUUGUGAAAGUUGGAAGUAUUGGAAAGCAGCUGUUCUGAUGACUUUUCUACUGACGUCUGUACGCCAGACGUUGCCAUUCGCUUACGUUGACAGUUCUUGGAUUACAUGAUAUUUAUUCCUUGACACAAUCCGCGACAUCUAUCGGCAAAUAUGUGAAGCAAAAUCAUAUGUCAACUAUUUGGUGAUCCGCCAUUUUUAAUGUUUAUGUUUUUGUACUUGGCGUUGGCGGUAUGGUCGAUUUUGGAAUAAACGAGUGAAUUUGUGAAAAGACCUGCGACGUGCUCAUAUUUUGUUAUUCUUUGGCGUCGUGAAAGUGAUAUUUUGCAUGCGAUGUCAACACUUUCAGAUUCUUUACUGUGUUUUCAGCAUUGCAGUAAAAUUAAUGUGUUCUGCUUUACCAUACCCAACAAUUGUCCAGCAUGUGAAAAUGAGUUGUCUAAUACAGAUUUGCCCAUACCACCUUUUCGGUAAAGUUAAUUCUUUGUUUCCUUAAACUUCCAAGUCCUCUAACAUCAGAAGCUAAAAAUUUUAGUCUUUUGAUAAAGCCAACAUUUGGAAAUUUCACCAGAGAUUUCAAAAGAGGUGAUGUGCUGCAUAUUGCUCUUUCAAAUUCAGAGAGCAAAAUAUUUGAAUUCAAUGAAAAUGGAAUAAGCUCCUCUAGUUUUGGUUCCUAUUUGAACUGGACAAAUUUUCUUUCUGUCAGCCUUGCCACAUUACCUUACGCAUUUUCGGAAUUAGAUAAAGUUUUGGAAAAUACCAUUACCAUGGAUACUUGGGCGGCAGAAAGAUAUGAUGAAGUUAACAACAAUUGUUUCGACUACGUGAUAUCCGUGUUAAAUGCGGCCAAUAACAAUUCCAAUUCCAAGUUGACAAAAAUUCAAUUAACACAAGAGAUCAUCUCCCCAGCUAUUAACAGAACCAUCCGCUUACUUUCUAUCGUUAGAAAUGUAUCGCAAAACGGUUUCUUUCUCCAAGGCAACCAUUUUGAAGAGCCUUAAAUAACCAGUUGAUGUCUACUGCCACGAUAUUUGAUGUAUAUUGAAUAAACGAAUUCUGAUUUUUUUUUU